AAUGAGUUUUAUUCUUGCUUUUCCAUUCAAUUUAUGUUUGUUCUAUAUGUAAGUCUGUGCGUGUUUUCUUGCGGUUCUAGAUGGGUUGCUAGGGAGGUUUUAAUUCUCAUUAGUUGUUAUUGGUUGAUCAAAUAUUUUUGUAUCUAGUAAUAUAUUUUAGUUUCGGUUAAAUUUUGUGCCAGCAGCCGCGGUUAUACCUUGGAGGCGUUUGAAUGUGUUUGGCUUAUUGUAGUUGUAUUAUUUAUUUAGUUGAUUAUAUCUGGGUUAGUUUAUUAGGUGGAAUUUUUAUUUUUUGUAUUUGUCUUUUAUAAAUUUGGAGGCUGUGAAAUUCUUUUUAUAAACUAGGAUUAGAUACCCUAUUAUUUUGGAAUGUUAAGUUUUAUAUGUGCUUGAGUAGUAUUAGUUAUGUUCUUGAAACUUAAAGAAUUUGGCGGUAUCUCAUUCCGUUCAGAGGAAUCUGUCUCGUUAUCGAUAGUCCGCGUUGGACCUUGCUUAGAUUGCUUGAUGGUUUGUAUACCGCCGUUUAUUGAUUAUCUUUUUAGGGUUAAGUAAUUUUCUGGUUUCUUUAUUUUGAUUUAUUUCAGGUCAAGGUGCAGCUUGUUUCUAAGUGUAUGAUGGAUUACAUUGUUAUUUGUUUCUGGAUUGUUGGUUUCAAUAUUAGCAUGAAAUUGGAUUUGGUUGUAAUAAUUUGUAGAUUGUUUUUAUGAUAUUGGUUUUGGGAUAUGUACACAUCGCCCGUCGCUCUCGUUCAGUAUUUAUUAAUGAGAUAAGUCGUAACAAAGUGGUUGUACCGGAAGGUGCAGCUGGAUUGAA
Molecule: non-coding RNA, 813 nt
Filed under: Cubitermes oblectatus
Lineage: Eukaryota; Metazoa; Arthropoda; Insecta; Blattodea; Termitidae
Source: RNAcentral